AUCACAAUCUCCUUUAUUACAUAUCUAGUCACAGUAGCUCAAUAGACCCUCCUUCAGUUGGCUCAGGGCUGUGUCUGUCCCAUUUGCCUGUUUUAGCUUUGAAAUUAUGACAAAUGGCUUCUGUGAAGUUGACAUCAAAGCCGAAACAGUGGCAAAGGCUGAGACUGGGUGAUCUCUUUUGAAAGUAUCAGGUUCUGCAAAACUGAUGGGAAUAUAGUGGGGAUCUACAAAUCACUGCUAGCUAGUAUGUAUUACGCCAACAAGGAGUGCUGUGAUUUCAUAUAAUUGGUCCCAAACCAGUGAGUAAAUUUUUCAGUGUUGUGAAGGAGGAAAAUAUAAUGUGAGGACAAUAAAAAUAGUCCCAAGAGCAAUCACUAUCUCCAUAAAAAAUUCCUUCCAGUUUGAAAGCCUUACAUCAUUGUCCAUUCUCCUUUCAUCUGUGGCUAGUCAAUGUCACCUUCCACUUGCUCAGAAAAUCAGGCAGAAAAACGUUGUGUGAAAACAGUGGCUGAAAGAAUUCUCCUGUGCUGUAAAUCUUGGCUAAUGAAAGACGUCGUAUUCUUGGAGACUUGGAUACUGUUUGGCUGAGGCCUUUGCCCUGUUCUGUUAUGAUAGUUGCAGCUAAGCCAUGAUCCUGUCAGAAUUAAUCACAGAUAAUAAAAAAAUAAUAAUAAUAAUAAAAAAUCA
Molecule: long non-coding RNA, 687 nt
Filed under: Anas platyrhynchos platyrhynchos (common mallard)
Lineage: Eukaryota; Metazoa; Chordata; Aves; Anseriformes; Anatidae
Description: lncRNA (ENSAPLG00000022183.1)
Source: RNAcentral